CUACGGGGGGCUGCAGUGGGGAAUAUUGCACAAUGGGCGCAAGCCUGAUGCAGCCAUGCCGCGUGUAUGAAGAAGGCCUUAGGGUUGUAAAGUACUUUCAGCGGGGAGGAAGGGAGUAAAGUUAAUACCUUUGCUCAUUGACGUUACCCGCAGAAGAAGCACCGGCUAACUCCGUGCCAGCAGCCGCGGUAAUACGGAGGGUGCAAGCGUUAAUCGGAAUUACUGGGCGUAAAGCGCACGCAGGCGGUUUGUUAAGUCAGAUGUGAAAUCCCCGGGCUCAACCUGGGAACUGCAUCUGAUACUGGCAAGCUUGAGUGUCGUAGAGGGGGGUAGAAUUCCAGGUGUAGCGGUGAAAUGCGUAGAGAUCUGGAGGAAUACCGGUGGCGAAGGCGGCUCCCUGGACGAAGACUGACGCUCAGGUGCGAAAGCGUGGGGAGCAAACAGGAUUAGAUACCCCGGUAGUC
Molecule: ribosomal RNA, 464 nt
Filed under: uncultured bacterium
Lineage: Bacteria
Description: partial 16S ribosomal RNA
Rfam family: Bacterial small subunit ribosomal RNA
Source: RNAcentral